GCCAGGCAUGGUGGUGCAUGUCUGUAAUCCCAGUGGCUUGGGAGGCUGAGGCAGGAGGAUCAUGAGUUCAAACCCAGCCUCAG
Molecule: small RNA, 83 nt
Filed under: Marmota monax (woodchuck)
Lineage: Eukaryota; Metazoa; Chordata; Mammalia; Rodentia; Sciuridae
Source: RNAcentral